GAUGAAGAACGCAGCGAAAUGCGAUAAGUAGUGUGAAUUGCAGAAUUCCGUGAAUCAUCGAAUCUUUGAACGCACAUUGCGCCCCUUGGUAUUCCGAGGGGCAUGCCUGUUCGAGCGUCAUUUAAACCAAUCUAGCUUGCUAGGUCUUGGGCUUUCGCCUCUGGGCGGGCCUCAAAAUCAGUGGCGGUGCUGCCGGGCUUUAAGCGUAGUAAUCUUUCUCGCUAUAGGGUCCUGGUAGAGGCUUGCCAACAACUAUAAAUCUUUCAAAGGUUGACCUCGGAUCAGGUAGGGAUACCCGCUGAACUUAAGCAUAUCAAUAAGCGGAGGA
This 328-nucleotide unclassified non-coding RNA is filed under the name soil metagenome. Its description in RNAcentral is "partial contains 5.8S ribosomal RNA, internal transcribed spacer 2, and large subunit ribosomal RNA". The stretch from base 1 to 120 matches the Rfam family "5.8S ribosomal RNA", at positions 35 to 154 of the family's 154-position model. The record is from RNAcentral.